Molecule: ribosomal RNA, 2816 nt
Filed under: Chitinophagales bacterium
Lineage: Bacteria; Pseudomonadati; Bacteroidota; Chitinophagia; Chitinophagales
Description: 23S ribosomal RNA
Rfam family: Bacterial large subunit ribosomal RNA
Source: RNAcentral
UUAAAAGCAAAUAAGAGUACACGGGGAAUGCCUAGGCUCUCAGAGGCGAAGAAGGACGUGAUAAGCUGCGAUAAGCUUCGGGUAGUUGCAAAUAAACUAUCAUCCGAAGAUUUCCGAAUGGGGCAACCCUCUAUAUUGAAGAUAUAGAAUCCUGCAAAGGAAGCUAACCCGGGGAACUGAAACAUCUAAGUACCCGGAGGAAAAGAAAACAAAAGUGAUUUCCGUAGUAGCGGCGAGCGAACUGGAAAUAGCCCAAACCAAUGAGAUUUAUCUUGUUGGGGUAGUAGGGCUGCAAAUAUGAUAUAUAAUCUGAAGUGGAAGUAUCUGGAAAGUUACACCAAAGAGAGUGAAAGUCUCGUAUACGUUAAGUUUAUAUAUUUAUGCAGUACCCUGAGUAGUGCGGGACUCGUGAAAUCCUGUAUGAAUCAACCGGGACCAUCCGGUAAGGCUAAAUACUCCUGAGAGACCGAUAGUGAACUAGUACCGUGAGGGAAAGGUGAAAAGAACCCUAAAUAAGGGAGUGAAAUAGUACCUGAAACCGUGUACUUACAAGCGGUCGGAGCCAAUUUAUUUGGUGACGGCGUGCCUUUUGCAUAAUGAGCCUACGAGUUACUGCUCACUGGCAAGGUUAAGUUAUUAAAAUGACGGAGCCGUAGCGAAAGCGAGUCUGAAUAGGGCGAAAGUCAGUGGGCGUAGACGCGAAACCUUGUGAUCUACCCAUGAGCAGGUUGAAGCUUCUGUAAUAGGAAGUGGAGGACCGAACCAGUAUACGUUGAAAAGUGUUUGGAUGACUUGUGGGUAGGGGUGAAAGGCCAAUCAAACUAGGAAAUAGCUCGUACUCCCCGAAAUGCUUUUAGGAGCAGCGUUGGAGUUAAGUUUUACGGAGGUAGAGCUACCAAUUGGGCUAGGGGGCUUCACCGCCUACCAAACCCUGAUGAACUCCGAAUACCGUAAAAUAUAUCCAGCAGUGAGGCAGUGGGUGCUAAGGUCCAUUGCCGAGAGGGAAAGAACCCAGACUAACAGCUAAGGUCCCUAAAUCUAUACUAAGUUGAUCUAACGUUGUUUGAUUGCUAUGACAGCUAGGAUGUUGGCUUGGAAGCAGCCAUUCAUUUAAAGAGUGCGUAACAGCUCACUAGUCGAGUGAUCGAGCGCGGAAAAUAAUCGGGCAUCAAGUAUAGUACCGAAGCUUUAGAUUCAUACCAAUAGGUAUGAGUGGUAGGGGAGCAUUCUAAUUUCAUCGAAGUCGGGUCGUAAGGCCCGGUGGAGGAAUUAGAAAAGAAAAUGUAGGCAUAAGUAACGAUAAAAUAGGUGAAAAACCUAUUCGCCAAUAGACUAAGGGUUCCUGAUCAAUGCUAAUCAGAUCAGGGUUAGUCGGGUCCUAAGGAUAACCCGAAAGGGGAAGCCGAUGGCAAACAGAUUAAUAUUUCUGUACCUGCUUUACAAUGAAAGUGACGGAGAGACGUAGCAGCUACGUGCUGACGGAAUAGCACGUUGAGCCUAUCCACAUGUGGAGAAGCGAAGUUGGGAAAUCUCUUCCAAGAAAUAGCGAGUAAUAGCAGCCCGUACCGUAAACCGACACAGGUAGUCAAGUAGAGUAUACUAAGGCGCUCGAGUGAUCCGUGGCUAAGGAAUUCGGCAAAAUUGUCCUGUAACUUCGGGAGAAAGGACGCCUCGUUAGCGAUAACGAGGCCGCAGUGAAUAGGCCCAGGCGACUGUUUAUCAAAAACACAGGACUUUGCUAAGUCGAGAGAUGAUGUAUAAGGUCUGACACCUGCCCGGUGCUGGAAGGUUAAGGAAGGAGGUUAGUACUUCGGUACAAAGCUUUUAACUGAAGCCCCAGUAAACGGCGGCCGUAACUAUAACGGUCCUAAGGUAGCGAAAUUCCUUGUCGGGUAAGUUCCGACCUGCACGAAUGGUGUAACGAUCUGGGCGCUGUCUCGGCCACGAGCUCGGUGAAAUUGUAGUAUCGGUGAAGAUGCCGGUUACCCGCAAUGGGACGAAAAGACCCCGUGAACCUUCACUACAACUUCGCAUUGACAUUGGGUAAAUAACAUGUAGGAUAGGUGGGAGACUUUGAAGCUGUGUCGCUAGGCAUGGUGGAGUCGUCCUUGAAAUACCACCUUUUAUUUAUCUAAUGUCUAAUCUAUAACUGGAGACAUUGCGUGGUGGGUAGUUUGACUGGGGUGGUCGCCUCCAAAAGAGUAACGGAGGCUUCUAAAGGUACCCUCAGCACGUUUGGUAAUCGUGCGUAGAGCAUAAUGGUAUAAGGGUGCUUGACUGCAAGACCUACAAGUCGAGCAGGUACGAAAGUAGAGCAUAGUGAUCCGGUGGUUCCGCAUGGAAGGGCCAUCGCUCAAAGGAUAAAAGGUACUCCGGGGAUAACAGGCUGAUCUCCCCCAAGAGCUCAUAUCGACGGGGAGGUUUGGCACCUCGAUGUCGGCUCGUCACAUCCUGGGGCUGGAGAAGGUCCCAAGGGUUGGGCUGUUCGCCCAUUAAAGUGGCACGCGAGCUGGGUUCAGAACGUCGCGAGACAGUUCGGUCUCUAUCUAUUGUGGGCGUUAGAAAUUUGAGGAGAGCUGACCCUAGUACGAGAGGACCGGGUUGGACAAACCUCUGGUGUAUCUGUUGUAGCGCCAGCUGCAUUGCAGAGUAGCUAUGUUUGGAAGGGAUAAGCGCUGAAAGCAUCUAAGCGCGAAGCCUACUUCAAGAUGAGAUUUCUUUUAAGAGUCGUUCGAGAUGAGGACGUUGAUAGGGUGUAGGUGUAAAGGCGGUAACGUCAAAGCCGAACACUACUAAUUGCUCGUUAGCUUUUUUUA